Molecule: ribosomal RNA, 212 nt
Filed under: Pichia kudriavzevii
Lineage: Eukaryota; Fungi; Ascomycota; Pichiomycetes; Pichiales; Pichiaceae
Description: partial 26S ribosomal RNA
Rfam family: Eukaryotic large subunit ribosomal RNA
Source: RNAcentral
UAGACAGGGGUUGCCUCAGUAGCGGCGAGUGAAGCGGCAAGAGCUCAGAUUUGAAAUCGUGCUUUGCGGCACGAGUUGUAGAUUGCAGGUUGGAGUCUGUGUGGAAGGCGGUGUCCAAGUCCCUUGGAACAGGGCGCCCAGGAGGGUGAGAGCCCCGUGGGAUGCCGGCGGAAGCAGUGAGGCCCUUCUGACGAGUCGAGUUGUUUGGGAAU